ACGGGAGGCAGCAGUGGGGAAUAUUGCACAAUGGGCGCAAGCCUGAUGCAGCCAUGCCGCGUGUAUGAAGAAGGCCUUUCGGGUUGUAAAGCACUUUCAGUCGUGAGGAAGGUAGUGUAGUUAAUAGCAGCAUUAUUUGACGUUAGCGACAGAAGAAGCACCGGCUAACUCCGUGCCAGCAGCCGCGGUAAUACGGAGGGUGCGAGCGUUAAUCGGAAUUACUGGGCGUAAAGCGCAUGCAGGUGGUUUGUUAAGUCAGAUGUGAAAGCCCGGGGCUCAACCUCGGAAUAGCAUUUGAAACUGGCAGACUAGAGUACUGUAGAGGGGGGUAGAAUUUCAGGUGUAGCGGUGAAAUGCGUAGAGAUCUGAAGGAAUACCGGUGGCGAAGGCGGCCCCCUGGACAGAUACUGACACUCAGAUGCGAAAGCGUGGGGAGCAAACAGGAUUAGAUACCCUGGUAGUCCACGCCGUAAACGAUGUCUACUUGGAGGUUGUGGCCUUGAGCCGUGGCUUUCGGAGCUAACGCGUUAAGUAGACCGCCUGGGGAGUACGGUCGCAAGAUUAAAACUCAAAUGAAUUGACGGGGGCCCGCACAAGCGGUGGAGCAUGUGGUUUAAUUCGAUGCAACGCGAAGAACCUUACCUACUCUUGACAUCCAGAGAACUUUCCAGAGAUGGAUUGGUGCCUUCGGGAACUCUGAGACAGGUGCUGCAUGGCUGUCGUCAGCUCGUGUUGUGAAAUGUUGGGUUAAGUCCCGCAACGAGCGCAACCCUUAUCCUUGUUUGCCAGCGAGUAAUGUCGGGAACUCCAGGGAGACUGCCGGUGAUAAACCGGAGGAAGGUGGGGACGACGUCAAGUCAUCAUGGCCCUUACGAGUAGGGCUACACACGUGCUACAAUGGCGCAUACAGAGGGCGGCCAACUUGCGAAAGUGAGCGAAUCCCAAAAAGUGCGUCGUAGUCCGGAUUGGAGUCUGCAACUCGACUCCAUGAAGUCGGAAUCGCUA
Molecule: ribosomal RNA, 1005 nt
Filed under: Vibrio sp.
Lineage: Bacteria; Pseudomonadati; Pseudomonadota; Gammaproteobacteria; Vibrionales; Vibrionaceae
Description: bacterial SSU rRNA
Rfam family: Bacterial small subunit ribosomal RNA
Source: RNAcentral